CCGCCUCUGCUUACAUGGCUGAGGAGCAUCUUGUGCUUCGAGCAGCAGGCUGCAGAGCAGAACUCGAUGUCGCCGUCGUCGCCCGGUGCCGUCACCAGAGUCUUGGAUAUCGAGAGGCAGUAAGCACACGAGCGACAGUGUUUACCCCACUUCCCUUCCAGCUCUUGACAGAAGAGUGUCUUGCAGGCUGUGAGGAGAGAAAGAACUGUGUCUGCCACACAUCCUGCACGGUGAACUCGAGCCCUCCUGUGGCGGCAGUUUUCUGGCAGCCUUCUUCAUCUUGGAUGUGACAGAGGAGAGACACGCAUUGCUGCACAGCUCCUUCAUAGUUCCCAAAUGAUCCACCGGAGCCAGGAUGAUGUUUUGAGGCCGUGUGAUCACCCUGCAGAAGUAAGAUGAGGCUUCCCACAAUCAGACGAGCAGGAUCAUCGAGGGACCCAGAGGAUGCGUCGCUGCCUAAUGACGUGCCAGCA
This is a long non-coding RNA of Archocentrus centrarchus (flier cichlid), 473 nucleotides long. RefSeq lists it as uncharacterized. The record is from RefSeq and is a predicted model, not a curated record. The transcript has 3 exons. NCBI's taxonomy places the organism in Eukaryota, Metazoa, Chordata, Actinopteri, Cichliformes, Cichlidae.